UUGGGUGUAAACCCGCACGCGUAAUGAAAGUGAACGUAGGUGAGAGCUUCGGCGCAUCAUCGACCGAUCCUGAUGUAUUCGGAUGGAUUUGAGUAAGAGCGUAUAGCCUCGGACCCGAAAGAUGGUGAACUAUGCCUGAAUAGGGUGAAGCCAGAGGAAACUCUGGUGGAGGCUCGCAGCGGUUCUGACGUGCAAAUCGAUCGUCAAAUUUGGGCAUGGGGGCGAAAGACUAAUCGAACCAUCUAGUAGCUGGUUACCGCCGAAGUUUCCCUCAGGAUAGCAGUGUUGUUCUUCAGUUUUAUGAGGUAAAGCGAAUGAUUAGGGACUCGGGGGCGCUAUAUAGCCUUCAUCCAUUCUCAAACUUUAAAUAUGUAAGAAGCCCUUGUUACUUAAUUGAACGUGGGCAUUCGAAUGUACCAACACUAGUGGGCCAUUUUUGGUAAGCAGAACUGGCGAUGCGGGAUGAACCGAACGCGGGGUUAAGGUGCCAGAGUGGACGCUCAUCAGACACCACAAAAGGCGUUAGUACAUCUUGACAGCAGGACGGUGGCCAUGGAAGUCGGAAUCCGCUAAGGACUGUGUAACAACUCACCUGCCGAAUGUACUAGCCCUGAAAAUGGAUGGCGCUCAAGCGUCCCACCCAUACCCCGCCGUCAGGGUAGAAACGAUGCCCUGACGAGUAGGCGGCCGUGGGGGUCAGUGACGAAGCCUAGGGCGUGAGCCC
RNAcentral lists this ribosomal RNA (724 nucleotides) under fungal sp. I15F-00332. Its description in RNAcentral is "LSU rRNA". It matches the Rfam family "Eukaryotic large subunit ribosomal RNA", at positions 694 to 1424 of the family's 3401-position model. Lineage: Eukaryota; Fungi. The record is from RNAcentral.